GGCUACGUUGGCCUAAGUGGUUAAAGCGUCCGCCUAGGGUAUGGGAGGUCGUGAAUUCGAAACCCGCAUGAGUCA
This is a non-coding RNA of Potamilus streckersoni, 75 nucleotides long. NCBI's taxonomy places the organism in Eukaryota, Metazoa, Mollusca, Bivalvia, Unionida, Unionidae. The record is from the annotation of a GenBank genome assembly.